CAGCCGUAAACUAUGCGCGUUAGGUGUAUCGGUGACCACGAGUCACCGAGGUGCCGAAGGGAAACCGUGAAACGUGCCGCCUGGGAAGUACGGUCGCAAGGCUGAAACUUAAAGGAAUUGGCGGGGGAGGCACCACAACGGGUGGAGCCUGCGGUUUAAUUGGACUCAACGCCGGGAAGCUCACCGGAUAAGACAGCGGAAUGAUUGCCGGGCUGAAGACUCUGCAUGACUAGCUGAGAGGAGGUGCAUGGCGUCAGUGACU
Molecule: ribosomal RNA, 262 nt
Filed under: uncultured archaeon
Lineage: Archaea
Description: partial 16S ribosomal RNA
Rfam family: Archaeal small subunit ribosomal RNA
Source: RNAcentral